This 385-nucleotide ribosomal RNA is filed under the name uncultured eukaryote. RNAcentral describes it as "partial 18S ribosomal RNA". It matches the Rfam family "Eukaryotic small subunit ribosomal RNA", at positions 592 to 976 of the family's 1831-position model. The record is from RNAcentral.
CAAUAGUGUAUAUUAACGUUGUUGCAGUUAAAAGGCUCGUAGUCGAACCUAUGGCCACGUGAACCCGUCCCACUGCCUUGCGCAGCGGUCGUCGGAGUGCUCAGGCCAUCCUGUUGGAGAGCGCCUCUGCUCUUGAUUGAGUGGUUGCGUGAUCCAACUCCUUUACUGUGAGUAAAUCAAAGUGUUCAAAGCAGGCUUCACGCUUGUAUGCAUUAGCAUGGAAUAAUAAGAUAGGGCUUCGGUUCUAUUUUGUUGGCUUCUGGAACCAAAGUAAUGAUUGAAAGGGAUAGUUGGGGGUGCUAGUAUUUGACGGUAAGCGGUGAAAUGCUCAGACCCGUUAAAGACUGACUUAUGCGAAAGCAUUCACCAAGGAUAUCUNCUUUGA